AUAAUGGCACUGACGGGAAGAAGUAACCGUGCAGCACGCUUCAGAGAGCCUCCGGUCGGUGAGAGGGGGCAGCGGGCGGCGAGUGAAAUACAUCCCCGAGCCGCUGCGCCGAACCGGGAGUAAGCGCAGCCGGGAGCGCCCGUUAAAGCGUGAGGGUGAUCUUCACCCGCUGAGGGGGCUUGCCGUGAGGCGGCUUCAAAUAGAGGUGGUACCGCGAUAAUUCGCCCUCUGU
RNAcentral lists this non-coding RNA (232 nucleotides) under Clostridium sp. Its description in RNAcentral is "T-box sequence". It matches the Rfam family "T-box leader". Rfam says of the family: Uncharged tRNA acts as the effector for transcription antitermination of genes in the T-box leader family. T-boxes are found upstream of many aminoacyl-tRNA synthetase genes and some amino acid biosynthetic genes usually in Gram-positive bacteria. The record is from RNAcentral. Lineage: Bacteria; Bacillati; Bacillota; Clostridia; Eubacteriales; Clostridiaceae.